CGCCAGAAAGCUCAGUCUCCUGCUCAAAACAGGAGCGCAGCAGCCGGAGGGAGUGGGGACAAGCUCGCUGAACACUGGGCGUCUCGACAGGGACCAGAGCCUGCAGGACUGUUCCGAGACGCUGCGGUGGCGGCGGCGCCGGAGGACGCGGAGGACUCCCUGGCCACCCGCCCUCCGUGCGCUCUGCCACCGGGCGCUCAGCAGAGACCCCGGGCUGCGGCUGCACUUGCUGAGUGCCUCUCCCCGCCGCCGCAGCCCAGAGGCGCCCAGCACCUGGAGCUCACUGGAGCUGAGGGUCCGAGCUGAGCGGGCUGUUGUAAAGCCGAAAGGCGAGUCAGUGACUGGGACCUCUGUCCUGGUGGCGACGGAGAGAAACAGUGAGCCCGAGGGGCGCGGGCACAGAACUGUCCAGCUCCGAGAACUGGGGUCCGCCAGCCGGCGGGGAAAGCAGCUGAGCGCGGAGGCGAGUGAGCGGACGCGUCCCGGGGUCUUUGCAGUCCCCGCCGGCCCCAAGGCACCGACUCUCGGUCAGUUGGGCGCGGCAGGGCGGGAGGGGCGCGCCAUGGAGGCGCCGGGUCGCGCCAGUAUGCUCCAGGCCAAGUGAAGCGGUCCGGCUGGGGUCGGCGGGACCCGCGGGCCAUGUACGGCGACAUAUUCAACGCCACGGGCGGCCCCGAGGCGGCGGUAGGCAGCGCGCUGGCCCCAGGAGCCACGGUCAAGGCAGAAGGCGCUUUGCCGCUGGAGCUGGCCACUGCGCGCGGUAUGAGGGACGGCGCGGCCACAAAGCCCGACCUGCCCACCUACCUGCUGCUCUUCUUCCUGCUGCUGCUCUCGGUGGCGCUCGUCGUCCUCUUCAUCGGUUGCCAGCUGCGCCAUUCGGCCUUCGCCGCGCUGCCCCACGACCGCUCGCUGCGCGACGCCCGCGCGCCCUGGAAGACGCGGCCGGUGUAGCUUGGGACUGAGCCACGGCCGCCGGGCGCCCCGUCCCGACCUAGCCAAGAGCAGCCAGCUUGAGCCUGGUAGGGAGGGCACGACACCGGGGAUCGCUGGCCCCUGGGAACACGGUGCCCUGACCCAAAGACCCUUCCUGAACUAGAGUGGCAACCCGAGAGGAAAGGGAGACCGAGGCGUCGGGAGCCUGUGUAGGGUCUCGAUCCCAGUACCUGUAGGUACCGUGAUUCUGAUCCCCUGGCCAAAUCUUUCUUCCUCUGGACAGAGGGUCCAGUCGGGAAACCUUCCCGAAAGACGGCGGUCGGGUCGGGAAACCUUCCUGAAAGACGGCGCGCCAGCCCGUCUUGCUUGCUCGCCGCCUGCUGACUUCCUUACUUUGCACACGGAAGGGGCAGGAACCGCAAGCGUGCAACUAGCCUGGAGCUACCCGUCUGGACUCGCAGGCCCUGUGGCUGUUUCCCACAGCUGCUACGGCCUCUCUUGCUCCUUGACACCGAGGAGGACCCCACUAGGAUCCGAGCGUCGUGAACUCACCUGAACUUUGGAAGGUUGGCACUGGGGGGCCGCAUCCCCCUGGGAAAUGACUGAACGCGGGGUUUCAGUGGGUCCCGCCUGGGUCUAAGGACCCAGUUUCUUCUGUGAGCACGGGCAGUGGGAGGCCGGUGGAAAGGCGCAGGGGCCCACCUACGCGUCUCACAUCUUCAGGGGCGCAUUUCUACAAUAAAAACUCACCCAAUUAGACCUA
Molecule: long non-coding RNA, 1696 nt
Filed under: Homo sapiens (human)
Lineage: Eukaryota; Metazoa; Chordata; Mammalia; Primates; Hominidae
Description: non-protein coding lnc-SMIM32-4:1
Source: RNAcentral